This 475-nucleotide ribosomal RNA is filed under the name uncultured Archaeorhizomycetes. RNAcentral describes it as "eukaryotic LSU rRNA". It matches the Rfam family "Eukaryotic large subunit ribosomal RNA", at positions 75 to 549 of the family's 3401-position model. The record is from RNAcentral. Lineage: Eukaryota; Fungi; Ascomycota; Archaeorhizomycetes.
UUCCCCCAGUAGUGGCGAAUGAAGAGGGAAAAGCUCAAGUUUGAAAUCUGGCGGGUGACCGUCCAGAGUUGUAAGCUGGAGAGGUGUCGUCCGACGCGGUCCAGGCUCAAUUUCCUUGGAACAGGAGGUCAUGGAGGGUGAGAACCCCGUACAUGGCUUGGGCGCCGCCGUCCUUGUGACGCAUCCUCUAAGAGUCGGGUUGUUUGGGAAUGCAGCUCAAAAUGGGUGGUAAAUUUCAUCUAAAGCUAAAUAUGGGCGAGAGACCGAUAGCAAACAAGUAGAGUGAUCGAAAGAUGAAAAGUACUUUGAAAAGAGAGUGAAACAGUACGUGAAAUUGUUGAAAGGGAAGCGUUUGGGCAUCAGCCCAUGGCGGUGGUACGAACAUCCUUGCUUCGGCAUGGUGCACUCGUCCACCGUUGGGCCAGCGACGCUCUGCCUGCCAGAGAAAGGCCUUGGGGAAGUGGCUCUCCCUUCG